Macadamia integrifolia is the source of this 989-nucleotide long non-coding RNA. RefSeq lists it as uncharacterized. Lineage: Eukaryota; Viridiplantae; Streptophyta; Magnoliopsida; Proteales; Proteaceae. The transcript is spliced from 2 exons. The record is from RefSeq and is a predicted model, not a curated record.
GGGAUCCCAAGAGGAAUGCAACCAGGGAUCCGACGAGGGAUGCCACGAGGGAUCCCACGGCUACUGCCGGCCAAGGGGGGAUGGAGUCUAGUAGUUUGGGUUUUAAGUUUCAGUGUUUUAGGCUAUUAAGGGUUGCUUUUUUUUUGUAGAUAAGAGAUACAAAUAUGUUGAUCCAAUAAUAUUUUGAUGACUAGCAACUGCACUUCUAGUAAGACCAAUUAUGGCCUCAAUAGUUCAUUGUGCUUUAAUGUGAUUACUAUGUGUGGCUGUAUAGGCAUGUGCUUUAUUGAUUUAUUCUUUCGUGAAGCCUUAUUCAUGCUUAUGCAGUUGGCCGAGACAUGGAUGAAGCAUUAUCCUAUGUGAGGAAAAUGAAGUGAAAAGGCAUUGAAAUGAGUUUGGUGACAUACAGUAUCCUUGUGGGUGGAUUUGCAAAAAUUGGUGAUGCUGCUGAAGCUGCAGAUAAAUAGUUUAAGGAGGCCAAAAAGAGGAAUACAACCUUAAAUGCUAUCUAUGCUGAUCAUUGGUGAGUACAUUUAAAUGAUCCAGUUUAAAUUUAAUUCCCUGAGUUAUUUUCUGAAUAUUAUGAAUUUAUUGACACAAGGUGUUAGGCAUUUUUAAAGCCGAUGCCUGAUCAUCUAAUUGCAAACUCAAACCCAGGGUCGAGGGACCUUCUUCAGCUGGAGAAACUUGUUUUUUGGUUUAUAGGUCGGACCAGGUCAGCUCAUAAAUGAGUUACAUAUCUAGGGGUUGAAUAUGUUCAUGCUCUACUGGUUUCCAAGAGAUAUUGCCUAUCAUUUGCCAUUUUUCCUAGGGAACUGAUGGGCUAAACACUCACUUACUUACUGAGAUUUAUACAUAUUUAUUUCUAAGGACAAUAUUAUUCAGAGGUUGCUGUGUGUGCUUCCUUGGUUUUGGGAACAGUUACAAAGUAACGUAUGUUCUCAUAUUUAUUGGAAUCCCAUCCAAAUCAAGUUCUUCUUUUUGUAGAA